CCUACGGGAGGCAGCAGUGAGGAAUAUUGGUCAAUGGACGAGAGUCUGAACCAGCCAAGUAGCGUGAAGGAUGACUGCCCUAUGGGUUGUAAACUUCUUUUAUAUGGGAAUAAAACGUUCCACGUGUGGGAUUUUGUAUGUACCAUAUGAAUAAGGAUCGGCUAACUCCGUGCCAGCAGCCGCGGUAAUACGGAGGAUCCGAGCGUUAUCCGGCUUUAUUGGGUUUAAAGGGAGCGUAGGUGGAUUGUUAAGUCAGUUGUGAAAGUUUGCGGCUCAACCGUAAAAUUGCAGUUGAAACUGGCAGUCUUGAGUACAGUAGAGGUGGGCGGAAUUCGUGGUGUAGCGGUGAAAUGCUUAGAUAUCACGAAGAACUCCGAUUGCGAAGGCAGUUCACUGGACUGCAACUGACACUGAGGCUCGAAAGUGUGGGUAUCAAACAGGAUUAGAUACCCCGGUAGUC
This 460-nucleotide ribosomal RNA is filed under the name uncultured bacterium. RNAcentral describes it as "partial 16S ribosomal RNA". It matches the Rfam family "Bacterial small subunit ribosomal RNA", at positions 338 to 795 of the family's 1533-position model. The record is from RNAcentral.